RNAcentral lists this ribosomal RNA (1347 nucleotides) under uncultured bacterium. Its description in RNAcentral is "bacterial SSU rRNA". It matches the Rfam family "Bacterial small subunit ribosomal RNA", at positions 28 to 1381 of the family's 1533-position model. The record is from RNAcentral.
GACGAACGCUGGCGGCGUGCUUAACACAUGCAAGUCGAACGAUGAAGCCUAGCUUGCUAGGUGGAUUAGUGGCGAACGGGUGAGUAAUACGUGAGUAACCUACCUUUAACUCUGGGAUAAGCCUGGGAAACUGGGUCUAAUACCGGAUACGACCAAUCUCCGCAUGGGGUGUUGGUGGAAAGCGUUAUGUAGUGGUUAUAGAUGGGCUCACGGCCUAUCAGCUUGUUGGUGAGGUAACGGCUCACCAAGGCGACGACGGGUAGCCGGCCUGAGAGGGUGACCGGCCACACUGGGACUGAGACACGGCCCAGACUCCUACGGGAGGCAGCAGUGGGGAAUAUUGCACAAUGGGCGCAAGCCUGAUGCAGCGACGCCGCGUGAGGGAUGACGGCCUUCGGGUUGUAAACCUCUGUUAGCAGGGAAGAAGAGAGAUUGACGGUACCUGCAGAGAAAGCGCCGGCUAACUACGUGCCAGCAGCCGCGGUAAUACGUAGGGCGCGAGCGUUGUCCGGAAUUAUUGGGCGUAAAGGGCUUGUAGGCGGUUUGUCGCGUCUGCUGUGAAGGCCGGAGCUUAACUCCGUGUAUUGCAGUGGGUACGGGCAGACUAGAGUGCAGUAGGGGAGACUGGAAUUCCUGGUGUAGCGGUGGAAUGCGCAGAUAUCAGGAGGAACACCGAUGGCGAAGGCAGGUCUCUGGGCUGUAACUGACGCUGAGAAGCGAAAGCAUGGGGAGCGAACAGGAUUAGAUACCCUGGUAGUCCAUGCCGUAAACGUUGGGCACUAGGUGUGGGGAACAUUCCACGUUUUCCGCGCCGUAGCUAACGCAUUAAGUGCCCCGCCUGGGGAGUACGGCCGCAAGGCUAAAACUCAAAGAAAUUGACGGGGGCCCGCACAAGCGGCGGAGCAUGCGGAUUAAUUCGAUGCAACGCGAAGAACCUUACCAAGGCUUGACAUAUACUGGACCGCAUCAGAGAUGGUGUUUCCCUUCGGGGCUGGUAUACAGGUGGUGCAUGGUUGUCGUCAGCUCGUGUCGUGAGAUGUUGGGUUAAGUCCCGCAACGAGCGCAACCCUCGUUCUAUGUUGCCAGCACGUUAUGGUGGGGACUCAUAGGAGACUGCCGGGGUCAACUCGGAGGAAGGUGGGGAUGACGUCAAAUCAUCAUGCCCCUUAUGUCUUGGGCUUCACGCAUGCUACAAUGGCCGGUACAGAGGGUUGCGAUACUGUGAGGUGGAGCUAAUCCCUAAAAGCCGGUCUCAGUUCGGAUUGGGGUCUGCAACUCGACCCCAUGAAGUCGGAGUCGCUAGUAAUCGCAGAUCAGCAACGCUGCGGUGAAUACGUUCCCGGGCCU